This 468-nucleotide ribosomal RNA is filed under the name uncultured bacterium. RNAcentral describes it as "partial 16S ribosomal RNA". It matches the Rfam family "Bacterial small subunit ribosomal RNA", at positions 28 to 507 of the family's 1533-position model. The record is from RNAcentral.
GACGAACGCUGGCGGCGUGCUUAACACAUGCAAGUCGAACGGAAAGGCCCUGCUUUUGUGGGGUGCUCGAGUGGCGAACGGGUGAGUAACACGUGAGUAACCUGCCCUUGACUUUGGGAUAACUUCAGGAAACUGGGGCUAAUACCGGAUAGGAGCUCCUGCUGCAUGGUGGGGGGUGGAAAGUUUCGGCGGUUGGGGAUGGACUCGCGGCUUAUCAGCUUGUUGGUGGGGUAGUGGCUGACCAAGGCUUUGACGGGUAGCCGGCCUGGGAGGGUGACCGGCCACAUUGGGACUGAGAGACGGCGCAGACUCCUACGGUAGGCAGCGGUGGGGAGUAUUACACAAUGGGCGCAAGCCUGAUGCAGCGGCGCCGCGUGCGGGAUGACGGCCUUCGGGUUGUAAACCGCUUUCGCCUGUGACGAAGCGUGAGUGACGGUAAUGAGUAAAGAAGCACCGGCUAACUACGUG